Molecule: non-coding RNA, 453 nt
Organism: Phasianus colchicus (ring-necked pheasant)
Lineage: Eukaryota; Metazoa; Chordata; Aves; Galliformes; Phasianidae
Source: RefSeq, a predicted model, not a curated record
ACAUUCUAGAUGUGCUGUGCUGUCUGAGCUCUGCCUGUCUCUGAGAAUGGAGUGUGCAUGGGAAAAGUGUUCAAAACCUGGUUAUACCAUAGCCCAAGAUUCCUCAGAUUUUACCAGUGCCGGUGCAGCUGCCAGGAAGAGCUGUGUGCUUGAGUAGAUUGAUUAGUUGUGUGACAGAGCAGCACAUCUACUGCAUUCCUUCCUCUCGGCAUCAGUAAGACUUACAGGCUGCCUUGAUGUAUCCCCGGCUAUGCUACAUAGCAUCUGCAGUUACAAAGCAAGAAAAGGCAGUGCCAUCUGAUACGUCAUAAUGUAUGGCUAUACUGAAAAUUCAGAUAGGUAAUGAGAUUGGAAAGAACAAUGUUAGUUAGGAAUCAGUGUGGAAUACAGCAAACGUUCACUCAGUUUUGCAGCAGAGAAGCACGUGGUUCCCUCUGCAGUCUAUAGUGUAAG